This 550-nucleotide ribosomal RNA is filed under the name fungal sp. AM2013. RNAcentral describes it as "eukaryotic LSU rRNA". The stretch from base 134 to 287 matches the Rfam family "5.8S ribosomal RNA". The record is from RNAcentral. Lineage: Eukaryota; Fungi.
GGGGCCCCUCGGGGCCCAACCUCCCACCCGUGUUGCCCGAACCUAUGUUGCCUCGGCGGGCCCCGCGCCCGCCGACGGCCCCCCUGAACGCUGUCUGAAGUUGCAGUCUGAGACCUAUAACGAAAUUAGUUAAAACUUUCAACAACGGAUCUCUUGGUUCCGGCAUCGAUGAAGAACGCAGCGAAAUGCGAUAACUAAUGUGAAUUGCAGAAUUCAGUGAAUCAUCGAGUCUUUGAACGCACAUUGCGCCCUCUGGUAUUCCGGAGGGCAUGCCUGUCCGAGCGUCAUUGCUGCCCUCAAGCCCGGCUUGUGUGUUGGGCCCCGUCCCCCCCGCCGGGGGGACGGGCCCGAAAGGCAGCGGCGGCACCGCGUCCGGUCCUCGAGCGUAUGGGGCUUCGUCACCCGCUCUAGUAGGCCCGGCCGGCGCCAGCCGACCCCCAACCUUUAAUUAUCUCAGGUUGACCUCGGAUCAGGUAGGGAUACCCGCUGAACUUAAGCAUAUCAAUAAGGAAGGAAGAAAACCGAGUGCGGGCCCCUCGGGGCCCAACUC